UUAUUAAUAGUUUCAUUGUUAAAAUAGACGUCUUUUCUGAUAAUAUAAUGAACUAUAACUCUAAAGUUUACUUUACAUUAAAAAGUGUUUGGUAUAUUAAGCAUGAACUGUAAACCAGAUUAUUUGUUCUAAGUUCCCGUAUCAAAUAUGCAUAAACAAAAAAACAGAAUAAAGUCGCUCACAUAAACUAUAUUUAACGUU
RNAcentral lists this long non-coding RNA (201 nucleotides) under Brassica napus (rape). RNAcentral describes it as "long non-coding RNA (BNAP_LNC005974)". The record is from RNAcentral. Lineage: Eukaryota; Viridiplantae; Streptophyta; Magnoliopsida; Brassicales; Brassicaceae.